GAUCCUGGCUCAGGAUGAACGCUGGCGGCGUGCUUAACACAUGCAAGUCGAGCGGAGGUUGUACUUCGGUACAACCUUAGCGGCGGACGGGUGAGUAACGCGUGGGUGACCUGCCUUAUACAGGGGGAUAACAGUGAGAAAUCACUGCUAAUACCGCAUAAGACCACAGUGCUGCAUGGCACAGAGGUAAAAGGAGUAAUCCAGUAUAAGAUGGACCCGCGUCUGAUUAGCUAGUUGGAGAGGUAACGGCUCACCAAGGCGACGAUCAGUAGCCGACCUGAGAGGGUGAUCGGCCACAUUGGGACUGAGACACGGCCCAAACUCCUACGGGAGGCAGCAGUGGGGAAUAUUGCACAAUGGGGGAAACCCUUGAUGCAGCAACGCCGCGUGAAGGAAGACGGUUUUCGGAUUGUAAACUUCUAUCGACGGGGAAGAAUAAAUGACAGUACCCGAGUAAGAAGCCCCGGCUAACUACGUGCCAGCCGCAGC
RNAcentral lists this ribosomal RNA (489 nucleotides) under uncultured bacterium. RNAcentral describes it as "bacterial SSU rRNA". It matches the Rfam family "Bacterial small subunit ribosomal RNA", at positions 15 to 518 of the family's 1533-position model. The record is from RNAcentral.